AAAGGUAAUAUCCGAGUCGUUCCC
This 24-nucleotide non-coding RNA is filed under the name Drosophila erecta. The record is from RNAcentral. Lineage: Eukaryota; Metazoa; Arthropoda; Insecta; Diptera; Drosophilidae. RNAcentral also lists the same sequence under 1 other name.